CGAAUAUAUCGUAUGAAAUUCUAGAUAAAUUAUUGAUAAUGACAAUUAUUUAUUUAUAAGUCUUGACCAAAUUACGUGCCAGCAGUCGCGGUAAUACGUAGAAGACUAGUGUUAAUCAUCUUUAUUAGGUUUAAAGGGUACCUAGACGGUAAAUUAAACCGAGAGGGUACUUUUUUACUAGAGUUUUAUAAGAGAAGGGGAGAAUUUUUGGAGUAAAGAUAAAAUUUAAUUAUACCAAAAGGACUGAUAACGGCGUAGGCGGCCUUUUAUGUAAAAACUGACGUUGAGGGACGAAGGCUUGGGUAGCAAUAAGGAUUAGAUACCCUAGUAGUCCAAGCAGAAAAUUAUGAAUGUCAUAAGUUAGAUAUAAUUUAACUUAUAAAUGAAAGUGUAAGCAUUCCACCUCAAGAGUAAGAUGGCAACAUUGAAACUGAA
Molecule: ribosomal RNA, 435 nt
Filed under: Coccidioides immitis
Lineage: Eukaryota; Fungi; Ascomycota; Eurotiomycetes; Onygenales; Onygenaceae
Description: SSU rRNA
Rfam family: Bacterial small subunit ribosomal RNA
Source: RNAcentral